This 432-nucleotide ribosomal RNA is filed under the name uncultured bacterium. RNAcentral describes it as "partial 16S ribosomal RNA". It matches the Rfam family "Bacterial small subunit ribosomal RNA", at positions 29 to 506 of the family's 1533-position model. The record is from RNAcentral.
AACGAACGCUGGCGGCAGGCUUAACACAUGCAAGUCGAGCGAGACCUUCGGGUCUAGCGGCGGACGGGUGAGUAACGCGUGGGAACGUGCCCUUCUCUACGGAAUAGCCCCGGGAAACUGGGAGUAAUACCGUAUACGCCCUUUGGGGGAAAGAUUUAUCGGAGAAGGAUCGGCCCGCGUUGGAUUAGGUAGUUGGUGGGGUAAUGGCCCACCAAGCCGACGAUCCAUAGCUGGUUUGAGAGGAUGAUCAGCCACACUGGGACUGAGACACGGCCCAGACUCCUACGGGAGGCAGCAGUGGGGAAUCUUAGACAAUGGGGGCAACCCUGAUCUAGCCAUGCCGGGUGAGUGAUGAAGGCUUUAGGGUUGUAAAGCUCUUUAAGCUGGGAAGAUAAUGACGGUACCAGAAGAAGAAGCCCCGGCUAACUCCGU